RNA transcript from Labeo rohita (rohu), 2975 nucleotides. It is a transcript of the gene named leucine rich repeat containing 28, with no coding region annotated. The record is from RefSeq and is a predicted model, not a curated record. The transcript has 10 exons. Lineage: Eukaryota; Metazoa; Chordata; Actinopteri; Cypriniformes; Cyprinidae.
AAAGUAGAAGCUGAACGAGGGAAAAACUCUCUCAGCCAAAGACCGUUCUCUCAGCCAUGGCUUCUGAACUCCAUGAAGCGAUUUUUAUGGCCAAGCAAGAACGACACAAGAAUCUUUUCCUAAACUACAGAAACCUCAACCAUUUCCCUGUGGAGCUUCUCAAAGAUGAAGGGAUGCAGUUCCUGGAGCGUCUCUUCAUGAAGAGAAACUCCCUCACAACACUUCCAGAGAAUCUGGGUCAGAAACUUCCCAACCUAAUAGAAUUAUACCUGCACUCAAACAAUAUUGCAAUGAUUCCCCAAGCAAUUGGCAACUUAGUGAAGCUGCAGUCACUGGACCUGAGUGACAACGCUCUUCAGGUCAUCUGUCCAGAGAUUGGUCAGCUGCGCUCAUUACGACAUCUGCGAUUGGCCAACAAUCAACUGAAAUUUCUCCCGCAAGAGCUGGGAGAUCUCAGAGAGCUGGAGACCCUCGACGUGUCCAUGAACCUCCUGAGGACUCUUCCGGAGCGUCUGCACCAGUGUCAGUCCCUGCAGUGCCUGACGGCAGACCGCAACCUGCUGCACUGCGUUCCUCGCCAGCUCUGUCUGCUGCCCGACCUCAAUGAGCUUUCCAUGGCUGCCAACUGCCUGACAUCACUGCCCCUGGAUCUGGGACGCUCCAUGGAGCUACAGUUUGUCUUUGUGGACAACAAUGCUCAUCUGAAGGGACUCCCAUCCUAUCUUUAUAACAAAGUCAUCGGCUGCAGUGGGUGUGGUCUAGCUGCACAGAUCUCUGACGUGAAGCAGAUCUGUCUGACACUGGGAGAUGUGACUAUUCCUCUGCCCUCUGAAGUGAAGGCCAUCGGCUCGGAGACCGACCACGUGUUGCCUCUGGAAGAGCUGGCGUGCAGAGUCCUACAUGCAGCCCACAACUGGACCAGUAAGGAUGUGAAGUUUCGGACACCGUUUCUGUUGCCCAAGAGUCUGCUAGAUGUGGUUCAGUGGCCUCUGGGUCACUGUCACCGCUGUAGUCAGCCCAUGUUCACCAUCGUCUACCCUAAACUGUUUCCUCUCAGAGAGACCGCACUCGCAGGAGUACACAAGAGAACCACUGUGAGUUUUGUAGCAUACUGCUGCUCUAGCCACUGUCUGAGGACGUUUGACCUGCAGAGCUGAUGUCUCACAUACGCUAACCUCACAUCACUGCUCAUGGUGCUUUCAUCUUCACGAAAGACUUGAAGAAUACCGCAAGAGACUUUGAAGAACUGACACCUGUCUGAGCUUCUGACAGCUCACCGUCCUGAAGAUCUUCACGACAGCCAUUACAUACUGCCCUUCAGAAGCUACAGAAGACUUGCUUACAUGUUUCCCAGAAGACAAAUUAAAAACGUUUUCAUCCUUAAUGUGUUGUGUUUCCUUCUGAAGCAUCAGUGAGUGUUUGAACCUUCUGUAAUAGCUCAGUUGUCCUCAGUGUGAAAAGAUGGAUCUCAAAGUCAUAUAGUCAUUAUUAGAAAGGGUUCAAAUACACAAAAAUGCUGAAAAACCAAAGAAUUUGUGGGACCUGAAGGAUUUUUCUGAAGAACAGAGGGCAUUUUAACUGUUAAGGACAAACAAGGGACUCAAGAAUCACUAAACACACACACACACACAAAAAACAGCUGUGGAUCAUUCAGGUAACAACAUAGUAUUAAGAAUCAAGGGUAUGUAAACUUUUGAACAGGGUCAUUUUUACAAAUUAAACUAUUAUUUUCUAUUGUGAACCAUAUGUAAACGUCUUUUAUGUGAAAUAUCUUAUUCAAGUCAGUACUAAAUAAAAAAUAACAUGCAUUUUGUAUGAUCCCUCUUAUUUUGAUAAAAUAAUUAAAAUGACAUAUUCUGCAAGGUGUAUGUAAACAUUUGACCUCAACUGUCCUUAAAACUGAGUUUUAAGUGAGAUAUGGAUAUUUUUGUUUCCAUUUGAAAGGAAAAUAGAGUUUUUUGAGAAAAUAUUACUGAAAUGUCACGUUCCUUUAGAUUCAUAUCUCACUACGGCUUUUAACCAUGACACAAUACUUUAAAAGUGGCUUUUUAAAGAUAAAUGUGUGUAAUUUCAAUCUGAGGCUCAUUAACAAUUGUUUGUGUGCUGUUGAAAGUGAGCAGCACUGUAGGUCUUUUCAAAGAAAAUCAUGCGUGUUGUAUGUUAUGGAAUUUUGUGAAGUUCUGAACAGACUGUUAUAAAGUGCCAAUUGACUUUUAUGAAAAACAUGCAGUUGAUUGUUCUCUUUGAAGGCAGCUUCAAGGGAUUGUUCUAUUUUUGUGAGAGAUAAUAUUUUCAAAAGACUUGAGACACUUGAAAUGUGGAGAUUUGCUGAUGCUACACUACAUCUGUCAGUCAGUGUGCCAUACACCACAGCAAACCAUCGUUGUUCAGCUUUUAGUAUUUAUAAUAUUCUCUGUCCCUUCAAUUAGAUGUGAGCAAUAGGAUGACUUUCUUAAAGGGAUAGUUUACCCAAAAAAUGAAAAUCACCCCAUGAUUUACUCACCCUUAAGCCUUUUUAGGAUUUUCUUCUUUUAGAUGAACACAAGCAGAGUUAUAUUCAAAAUGUCCUAAGCUUUAUAAUGCCAGUGAAUGGGGGGUGAGAUUUUAAAGCCCAAAAAUUAUAAAGCUUGGAAAAGCCAGAACAUUUUGAAUAUAACUCCAAUAGUAUUUGUCUGGAAGAAGAAAGUCAUAUACACCUAAGAUGACUUGAGGGUGAGUAAAUCAUGGAGUAAUUUUCAUUUUUGGGUGAACUUUCCUUUAAGUUAAAGUGUUGAUGUUACUGUUACAGUUUUCUUAAAAAAAGCAACCAGGUAUUCUAGAAUAGACAACCUAGGACCUGGCUUUUUUAUUUUCUCUUAAGAGUGUUUGUUCAAACAUUUUACAUGUUACAAUGUUCUUGCUGUUUCAUUGGCAUUUAAAACUAAAUAACUGUGCUCUUGUUGAAAUGUUUGGCAAUAAUAACAACGUUUAAAACA